Paramuricea clavata is the source of this 407-nucleotide non-coding RNA. The record is from the annotation of a GenBank genome assembly. Lineage: Eukaryota; Metazoa; Cnidaria; Anthozoa; Malacalcyonacea; Plexauridae.
GGAAAAAUUUUUAGAUGCCCUUUUUUAUUCGAAAAGUGCCCCUCGAAACCUGGCCCCUCCAACUUUUAGAAGCUUCCUACGCCCCUGUGUAUAACGUUUAUAAAAAGUCUACGAAACACAGUACAUAGCCGGUGAACAGAAUCUCCUUAUUUCUCCGUAAACUUUUGCAUUUAGACAAAUAUGAAGCGAUAACAAAUUUAUUAAAGAAAGACGUUUCGAAGUCAUCUUGACCUCAUUUUCAAGUUCAAAUUAUAACAGAAAACGAUUAAAUGAAUAUAAAUAGCGUUUACAAAUAAUUGCGAAAGCAAACUAAUCCGUCAUACAUGACAGUUGCAAUUUUAAACUUAAUUAACAUAAUUAGAAUAAUUAAACGUGCAAAUUGUAACAAACAAUUAAACAAACAAUAA